GACGAACGCUGGCGGCGUGCCUAAUACAUGCAAGUCGAACGAGAGCGCCCGGUGCUUGCACUGGUCAAUCUAGUGGCGAACGGGUGAGUAACACGUGGGUAACCUGCCCAUCAGAGGGGGAUAACAUUCGGAAACGGAUGCUAAAACCGCAUAGGUCUUCGAACCGCAUGGUUUGAAGAGGAGAAGAGGCGCAAGCUUCUGCUGAUGGAUGGACCCGCGGUGCAUUAGCUAGUUGGUGAGGUAACGGCUCACCAAGGCCGUGAUGCAUAGCCGACCUGAGAGGGUGAUCGGCCACAUUGGGACUGAGACACGGCCCAAACUCCUACGGGAGGCAGCAGUAGGGAAUCUUCCGCAAUGGACGCAAGUCUGACGGAGCAACGCCGCGUAAGUGAAGAAGGUUUUCGGAUCGUAAAACUCUGUUGUUAGAGAAGAAUAAGUGCUAGAGUAACUGUUAGCGCCUUGACGGUAUCUAACCAGAAAGCCACGGCUAACUACGUG
Molecule: ribosomal RNA, 498 nt
Filed under: uncultured bacterium
Lineage: Bacteria
Description: partial 16S ribosomal RNA
Rfam family: Bacterial small subunit ribosomal RNA
Source: RNAcentral